RNAcentral lists this transfer RNA (66 nucleotides) under Amphionides reynaudii. RNAcentral describes it as "tRNA-Tyr". It matches the Rfam family "tRNA". From Rfam's summary of the family: Transfer RNA (tRNA) molecules are approximately 80 nucleotides in length. Their secondary structure includes four short double-helical elements and three loops (D, anti-codon, and T loops). Lineage: Eukaryota; Metazoa; Arthropoda; Malacostraca; Decapoda; Pandalidae. The record is from RNAcentral.
AGUAAGAGUGGCUGAGUGAAAGGCGAUAAAUUGUAAAUUUAUAAACGAGGUGGACCUCCUUUACUA